This 253-nucleotide ribosomal RNA is filed under the name uncultured bacterium. RNAcentral's name for it is "partial 16S ribosomal RNA". It matches the Rfam family "Bacterial small subunit ribosomal RNA", at positions 524 to 776 of the family's 1533-position model. The record is from RNAcentral.
GACAGAGGGUGCAAACGUUGUUCGGAAUUACUGGGCGUAAAGCGUGUGUAGGCGGCUUGGCAAGUCGGAUGUGAAAGCCCUGGGCUCAACCCAGGAAGUGCACUCGAUACUGCCGAGCUUGAGUAUCGGAGAGGUUGGUGGAAUUCUCGGUGUAGAGGUGAAAUUCGUAGAUAUCGAGAGGAACACCAGUGGCGAAGGCGGCUACCUGGACCAGCACUGACACUGAGGCACGAAAGCGUGGGGAGCAAACAGG